GCACGGGUAUCGGCAAGACGGAUAUGCCAGCGGUUUAAACCCACCUGUGGGCCGUGUAUCGGGGGUUCGAGUCCCUCACCCGUGCA
RNAcentral lists this transfer RNA (86 nucleotides) under Stenotrophomonas indicatrix. RNAcentral describes it as "tRNA-OTHER". Lineage: Bacteria; Pseudomonadati; Pseudomonadota; Gammaproteobacteria; Lysobacterales; Lysobacteraceae. The record is from RNAcentral.